Molecule: ribosomal RNA, 1341 nt
Filed under: Triticum aestivum (bread wheat)
Lineage: Eukaryota; Viridiplantae; Streptophyta; Magnoliopsida; Poales; Poaceae
Description: partial small subunit ribosomal RNA
Source: RNAcentral
AUGCGCGGUACAUGCACGAGGGCGAACGCAUCGAGUUCGAUCAGGCGAUCUCGUUUCCGUGUCAUGUGGCUAGGGUUGGACAGCGCAUUCAGUCGCCGUGCGCGCCCCCGUUGCAUGCGGGGCUUGGUACACAGCGCGCGGAGGAGCGGCAUGCAGCGGCUGGAUGCGCGACAUCUGGCGCGGGGAGAGCUGCCGGAUCAGAUCCAUGGCCGCCCCACCGCCAUGCGGGGCCCAGCAAUGGCGUUGAGGUACUUAAUGGACACCGAGGGGGCGCGGGCACACCCAAUUCCCCACCUACCACCACUCCUACCAGAUCCGACUCGCAUCUCGCCUAUCUCUUCGGGCACCUGUGGGAGAGAUCUAGGGUUUCCUCCUCUUCCCCACCUCCGCCGCGUGAUUCCUUCGGCUGGUGGCGUGGCAAGGUCGGCGGCAACGACCGCUCCUUUGCGCAAGUCGCAGAGGGCUCGAAGAUCCGUCUCGAUCCGUCCAAGGCGAUGGGGGAUCAAGGCGGGGGGCGAUUUGGAGGGCGGCGCGACUUCGCUGGCCGUGGUGGGUUCGGGGGUGGACGCCGACCACCGCCACCCAACCAGACGCGCAACAUGGUGUGGCAGCGGCCAGAUCUAUCGUCGGGCGCGGGCGAUGGGAGGAGGGGCCAAGGAGUGGGAGACUCAGAAGAUGGCGGCCCCCAAGGAUGCGAAUCCUCCCCCUGCUGCUGAUUCGACCACAACUCCGGCCACCAAGAGCUCCGAGGAGCGAUGCCUCAACUGCAACAACUCAGGUCAUUUCACUCCGCGUUGCCCUACUAUUCGUUGCGAGAAAUGCAACAAGCUUGGUCAUAUGGCUCAGUUGUGCCAAUCACUCAGGCCGUGGGAGUGUGUUCCUAUGUUGUGCGGGUUUCAAUCACCCGGCCAGGGCUUCUUCUAUAUUCCUGAUUUGUGUGCUACUAAACAGAGUUCUGAGAAAACUAAUAUUGUAGUUAUCACGGUCAUAGAGGGGGCUGCUACUGUGAAAGAGAUAGGACAUGAAUUCAACUGCAUUUUUGCUCAUAAACCUGGCAAGAAAAAAUGGCGCUGUACUGCUCGUUCCAUUAGUCCAACUCAAUUUGUCAUGCGGUUCCCGAAUGCCAGUGAAGUAGAAAGAGCAUGUUGUUAUGGUAAACGUCUUCCUUUGAAGGAUGGUUCUAUCAUUGUGUGCAUUACUCCAUGGUCUGCAUCUGUGGGGGCUAAAGGGAGUAUGGAAAAAGCAUGGGUUCGUGUUAGAAAUGUUCCACUGGAAAAAAGAUGCCCAGAGCAUGUUGCAUAUGCUGGGGGGGCUGGUUGGUAUUACUUUGGAAGUGGAUGA